This 474-nucleotide ribosomal RNA is filed under the name uncultured bacterium. RNAcentral describes it as "bacterial SSU rRNA". It matches the Rfam family "Bacterial small subunit ribosomal RNA", at positions 30 to 491 of the family's 1533-position model. The record is from RNAcentral.
AUUGAACGCUGGCGGCAUGCUUUACACAUGCAAGUCGAACGGCAGCGGGGGCUUCGGCCUGCCGGCGAGUGGCGAACGGGUGAGUAAUGCAUCGGAACGUGCCCAUGUCGUGGGGGAUAACGUAUCGAAAGGUACGCUAAUACCGCAUACGUCCUGAGGGAGAAAGCGGGGGGUCUUCGGACCUCGCGCGAUUGGAGCGGCCGAUGUCGGAUUAGCUAGUAGGUGAGGUAAAGGCUCACCUAGGCGACGAUCCGUAGCGGGUCUGAGAGGAUGAUCCGCCACACUGGGACUGAGACACGGCCCAGACUCCUACGGGAGGCAGCAGUGGGGAAUUUUGGACAAUGGGCGCAAGCCUGAUCCAGCCAUGCCGCGUGAGUGAAGAAGGCCUUCGGGCGUGUAAAGUACUCUUUCGGUCCGGGAAGAAAGUUGUGUUCUCUAACAUAGGACAUGGAUGACGGUACCGGACUAAGAAGC